UGGGGAAUUUUGGACAAUGGGCGAAAGCCUGAUCCAGCAAUGCCGCGUGUGUGAAGAAGGCCUUCGGGUUGUAAAGCACUUUUGUCCGGAAAGAAAUCCUUGGCUCUAAUACAGUCGGGGGAUGACGGUACCGGAAGAAUAAGCACCGGCUAACUACGUGCCAGCAGCCGCGGUAAUACGUAGGGUGCAAGCGUUAAUCGGAAUUACUGGGCGUAAAGCGUGCGCAGGCGGUUUGCUAAGACCGAUGUGAAAUCCCCGGGCUCAACCUGGGAACUGCAUUGGUGACUGGCAGGCUAGAGUAUGGCAGAGGGGGGUAGAAUUCCACGUGUAGCAGUGAAAUGCGUAGAGAUGUGGAGGAAUACCGAUGGCGAAGGCAGCCCCCUGGGCCAAGUACUGACGCUCAUGCACGAAAGCGUGGGGGAGCAAAGCNGGAUUAAUNCCCCUGGUAGUCCACGCCCUAAANGAUGUCAACUAGUUGUUGGGGGAUUCAUUUUCCUUAGUAACGUAGCUAACGCGUGAAGUUGACCGCCUGGGGAGUACGGUCGCAAGAUUAAAACUCAAA
RNAcentral lists this ribosomal RNA (562 nucleotides) under uncultured bacterium. RNAcentral's name for it is "partial 16S ribosomal RNA". It matches the Rfam family "Bacterial small subunit ribosomal RNA", at positions 355 to 905 of the family's 1533-position model. The record is from RNAcentral.